This 263-nucleotide unclassified non-coding RNA is filed under the name plant metagenome. RNAcentral's name for it is "partial contains small subunit ribosomal RNA, internal transcribed spacer 1, and 5.8S ribosomal RNA". The record is from RNAcentral.
UAUCCGUAGGUGAACCUGCGGAAGGAUCAUUAUUGUAUAACCGAGGUGCGAGGGCUGUCGCUGACCCGAAAGGUCGUGCACGCUCGAGUGCCCUCACACACAUCCAUCUCACCCCGAUGUGCACCACCGCGUGGGUCCCCCUUUGGCUUGUUCGGAGGGGGGCUUACGUGUUCACACAAACUUUGUAUGCAGUGUAGAAUGUAUUUUUUGUUUUUGCGAUCACGCAAUCAAUACAACUUUCAACAACGGAUCUCUUGGCUCUC